Molecule: ribosomal RNA, 441 nt
Filed under: uncultured bacterium
Lineage: Bacteria
Description: partial 16S ribosomal RNA
Rfam family: Bacterial small subunit ribosomal RNA
Source: RNAcentral
CCUACGGGAGGCAGCAGUGGGGAAUAUUGCACAAUGGGGGAAACCCUGAUGCAGCGACGCCGCGUGAGUGAAGAAGUAUUUCGGUAUGUAAAGCUCUAUCAGCAGGAACGAGACAAGACGGUACCUGACUAAGAAGCCCCGGCUAACUACGUGCCAGCAGCCGCGGUAAUACGUAGGGGGCAAGCGUUAUCCGGAAUCACUGGGUGUAAAGGGAGCGUAGACGGCUGAGCAAGCCUGAAGUGAAAGGCGGGGGCCCAACCCCCGGACUGCUUUGGGAACUGUACGGCUGGAGGGCAGGAGAGGUAAGUGGAAUUCCUAGUGUAGCGGUGAAAUGCGUAGAUAUUAGGAGGAACACCAGUGGCGAAGGCGGCUUACUGGACUGUAACUGACGUUGAGGCUCGAAAGCGUGGGGAGCAAACAGGAUUAGAUACCCCUGUAGUC